CCUACGGGAGGCUGCAGUGGGGAAUUUUGGACAAUGGGCGCAAGCCUGAUCCAGCCAUUCCGCGUGAGUGAAGAAGGCCUUCGGGUUGUAAAGCUCUUUCGCAAGGGAAGAAACGAUAUAGACGAAUAAUCUAUGUUAAUGACGGUACCUUGAUAAGAAGCACCGGCUAACUACGUGCCAGCAGCCGCGGUAAUACGUAGGGUGCGAGCGUUAAUCGGAAUUACUGGGCGUAAAGCGUGCGCAGGCGGUUUUGUAAGUCAGAUGUGAAAUCCCCGGGCUCAACCUGGGAACUGCGUUUGAAACUACAAGGCUAGAGUAUAGGAGAGGGGGGUAGAAUUCCACGUGUAGCAGUGAAAUGCGUAGAGAUGUGGAGGAAUACCAAUGGCGAAGGCAGCCCCCUGGCCUAAUACUGACGCUCAUGCACGAAAGCGUGGGGAGCA
RNAcentral lists this ribosomal RNA (440 nucleotides) under uncultured bacterium. Its description in RNAcentral is "bacterial SSU rRNA". It matches the Rfam family "Bacterial small subunit ribosomal RNA", at positions 338 to 770 of the family's 1533-position model. The record is from RNAcentral.